CCCAAUCACCGCUACCCUUUCCGAUUGAUCUGAGUCCCAUAACGCAUGUCAAGGCUCUGCCCGACUAAGUUCGUUUGGAUUCUAUCUCGGGACUUCGGGACAAGGUUGAAUUAGGGGUAUUAUACUUAACACAAGUAUAUUAUAUAUUUUUAGCCCAAAAGUUAUACCCAAAAUUUAUACCAGGAGUCCUUCUAGUUGAACCCUAAAAUUUCACAGUGGGUCCAUUCCUUUUUCUCACCAUUUUAUUCUCUUUUUGUAAGUUACCCAAAAUUAUUAUUUAUUAUUUAUUAUUUCUAUUUUAUAAACAAACUUUCAUCAAAAGUCAUGCCUAUUAUUUUAUUUACCCAAUAGGGAACCAUAGUUGAGACACCCAAGUAAUCCUGCACAACUCCUAAAAUUUUCAUAGCAAUCAGAAUCAGGAUCAGGGCCCCUAAAACUCAAGGGGGGCAAAACCUAGUUGACGAUUAUCUUCAUAACUCAUUAUAAAAUUCGAAAUUUACAAAACCGUCGACACAGCAAGCCUACAUGCACGAAGGGCUACUCUAUGAAAAUAGGGUGGUCACUCGCGUAGCGCGACGCCUAAGGGGGUACCCCCUCGCGCUACGCGACGGUGUCAAAAUUUCAGUAUAAAUAGCAGGGGUUGGGAUUUGAAUUUUGGCACUUGAACGACGAAAAUCGGAGUUACGUAGGUCGAGUUAUAAGCAAAACAGUCCAACACACACACACAAUUAUCGAAUCGCUGCCGCAAAACAGGGUAAUUAGUCGAUUGCUAUUACGAUUCAGUUUCCGGGAUCAAUAUACCCAAAGAAUGUCUAAGUGCCGCCCACAUUGGGCUAUGCUUUAUCGUUGUCGAUAAUUCGAUAAUGAGCCGAAGCAUUGUACUUUGUCGUUGUCGAUAAUUCGAUAUACGAGUUGAAGUACUAUACUUUGUCGUUUGUCAUUUUGAUAAAUGAGCUGAAGUAUUGCACUUGGACAUUCAUUGUAAAAAUUGAUCUCGGGGAAUUAUCGUAACUGCUGUAUUGAUCAUUAACCUGCCAAUGUUACGUAGGUCGAGUUAUAAGCAAAACAGUCCAACACACACACACAAUUAUCGAAUCGCUGCCGCAAAACAGGGUAAUUAGUCG
Molecule: long non-coding RNA, 1124 nt
Filed under: Helianthus annuus (common sunflower)
Lineage: Eukaryota; Viridiplantae; Streptophyta; Magnoliopsida; Asterales; Asteraceae
Description: hypothetical non coding rna
Source: RNAcentral